This 433-nucleotide ribosomal RNA is filed under the name uncultured bacterium. RNAcentral's name for it is "partial 16S ribosomal RNA". It matches the Rfam family "Bacterial small subunit ribosomal RNA", at positions 29 to 507 of the family's 1533-position model. The record is from RNAcentral.
AGCGAACGCUGGCGGCAGGCCUAACACAUGCAAGUCGAACGAACUCUUCGGAGUUAGUGGCGGACGGGUGAGUAACACGUGGGAACGUGCCUUUAGGUUCGGAAUAACUCAGGGAAACUUGUGCUAAUACCGAAUGUGCCCUUCGGGGGAAAGAUUUAUCGCCUUUAGAGCGGCCCGCGUCUGAUUAGCUAGUUGGUGAGGUAAAGGCUCACCAAGGCGACGAUCAGUAGCUGGUCUGAGAGGAUGAUCAGCCACAUUGGGACUGAGACACGGCCCAAACUCCUACGGGAGGCAGCAGUGGGGAAUCUUGCGCAAUGGGCGAAAGCCUGACGCAGCCAUGCCGCGUGAAUGAUGAAGGUCUUAGGGUUGUAAAAUUCUUUCAACGGGGACGAUAAUGACGGUACCCGGAGAAGAAGCCCCGGCUAACUUCGUG